This is an RNA transcript of Symphalangus syndactylus (siamang), 5181 nucleotides long. It is a transcript of the gene named chromosome 11 C16orf46 homolog, with no coding region annotated. Lineage: Eukaryota; Metazoa; Chordata; Mammalia; Primates; Hylobatidae. The record is from RefSeq and is a predicted model, not a curated record.
CAGCGUGUCGUAACCCAGGGCAACGGCCGGGUAGGCAGCGACCUGAGUAGCCCUUGCCAGGAGGCCGGUACUCGCUGUCGCGCGGCCUUCCAUCCGCUCGGCCCCACAGGAAAAGACCACCAAUAUUCUCUUUUAGUAGUGGAGCAUCUUGAUCCUGCCUGAAGUACACCAGUGUUCCGAAGGUGCAUCUGUUGAACUGCAAGAAGAUGUUAAAAACUUUAAGCAGCCAUCACAGUAAUGGAUCUCUGUCAAAAAAAUGAGACUGACUUAGAAAAUGGUGAAAAUAAUGAAAUUCAAUGCAAAGAAGAAACAGAACCAACCUAUACUUGUCCAGAUGGAAGAAGUGAAAAGAAUCAUGUUUAUUGUCUUCUCGAUAUCAGUGACGUUACACUUGAACAAGAUGAAAAAGCCAAAGAGUUUAUUAUUGGAACUGGAUGGGAAGAGGCAGUCCAAGGGUGGGGAAGGACUUCUCCAGCUGCCUGCAUCUGGCCGAGGAAGAUACCAAAACAGGCGAGGGUAGGGGAAGGUGCCUGCAGCGACUGCUUGGUGUGUGUUAACCUCUCCCACUGGAGCCUCGAGACGAAGCCUCCUACUGAGGGGGGCCCAGAGAAGGAUCAGAGCAGCCCCUCCCAGACUCAGGCAGCCCCCCAGGGCCCCAACACUGCUUCCAGGGCGAUUAGCGACAUCUGCUUUCCCACCUACUUUCGAGCAGAGAAAAAAAGUCUGCAAAUCAAGGAGUUUAUUUGGUGCAACGAAGACUGGGCCAUCCCCAACACUAAUAGGGGCAAGGCCCUUGGGAACCCCAGUGGAGGGGCCCACAGAGGGCUGUCCAUCCCAGGCCCCCUGACUUCCAGGGCUCUCUUAGUUCUGCCUCCCCUGAAGGCUUCACUUUCAAAUGCUUUGGAUGUUCUGGGUAAGAAGAGUAAGAACUCUUUCUUGCAGUCAGAAGAGAAGGUGCUGAGUGUGGAAAAGGAUGGGUGUGUGGCUUGUGCAUAUGACUUGAAAACAGCAGAUGGGAAAGGUGAAAAGAGACCCAGUGAGCUGGCCAAACACCCUGUGGUCAACGACACGCCAUCUUCCCCUUCCCCAGCGGCCCGGACAUCCCUGCUCGCCGAUCCGGAGCAGUGCUGCCUGCAGUGGUCCCUCCUGUCUGAGAAAAACCUGGCGUGCCCUCCAGACCCCAGCAACGUUCGCUACCUUGCUGCCUUGCCGCUUCUGCAGAAACGGGGAGUGCAAAACUACAAAUCCAAAUUAAAAGUCAAGGAGCCAAGAUCUCCUGUGAUCACUCAAAAGCACGUUCUCCCAAAGGCCAAGCAGGAAAACAGGCCCCAAAUGCUGGAGACCAAAGUUUUCCCAAGACCUCUCUUGCCGUCUCUCACAGUGAGCAGAGUUGUCAUUCCCAUCUCUACCCACAGGAUCCUCUGAGCGGUCACGGUAGAACCCCUGGGAAUAAGCACUGCUUGAGAUGCAGCCAUCCUUUCUCUGUCUUCUCUCUCAUUUACCACCCACCUCCCACUCUCUCUUUCUCUCCUCCCCGUCAAUCUGUCUUUCCUCUUCUUUUCCUCCAUUUUUUUUUUUUUUGUAGUACAACCGAAGAAAACUGAACCUCAGUGGAUAGGUUGGGAUUUAUUUUCUAAAACACCAUAUUCAUGUGUUACCUGCUUCUGCUAUUUAGCCAUUCACAAAAUGCCAAUUGGUCAUGCCAGCCCCGGCCUCUGCCUGCCUCAUGUCCACUCCCAGCAGAAGCCAUGCAGAAGGUGGGGAAUCCAAAGGGCCUCCUUCCCUCCAUGCUGGCCCCGGCUCAAGCCCAGAGGCGUCUGGCAGGUGUCCUUUCUGCCCCACCCCUGUGCCUCAAACUAAGUAUACUGGGCUGGUUUAGACCAAACUGCCUCCUGAUCUUUUGAACGAAGCAGGUGUCUAUCUACUGCCUCAUUUGCUCUUGCAACAAAGAUCUGAAGAAUUGCUUUAGUAGAAAACUCCAGGCCAGGUGCGGUGGCUCACGCCUGUAAUCCCAGCACUUUGGGAGGCCAAGGCGGGCAGAUCACCUGAGGUUGGGAGUUCAAGACCAGCCUGACCAACAUGGAGAAACCCUGUCUCUACUAAAGUAAAAAAAAUUAGCCGGGCGUGGUGGCACAUGCCUGUAAUCCCAGCUACUCAGGAGGCUGAGGCAGGAGAAUCGCUUGAACCCAGGAGGCAGAGGUUGUGGUGAGCCGAGAUCAUGUCAUUGUAUUCCAGCCUGGGCAAUAAGAGCGAAACUCCACCUCAAAAGAAAGAAAAGAAAACUAGCUUGUGUCCAGGACGUCCAAGGCAUUAGAGACCCUGUGUGUCCAGGGUGUCAUACCCUGAGAUUGUUUCCGUGUACAUACACUAUCUAUCGUCUCCUGCAUGUUCAGGGUGCCAUAUCCUUAGAUUGCACCCUCAUACUAAUCUCUGUGUGGAAGUUUUAGCUACAGUGCUACAGAAUCCAGCCUGGGAAGCAGGUUAAGAAUAAUUACUUUCUGGGGCCGGGCACGGUGGCUGACGCCUGUAAUCCCAACACUUUGGGAGGCCGAGGCGGGCGGAUCACGAGGUCAGGAGAUCGAGACCAUCCUGGCUAACACGGUGAAACCCCGUCUCUACUAAAAAUACAAACAAUUAGCCAGGCAUGGUGGCUGGCGCCUGUAGUCCCAGCUACUUGGGAGGCUGAGGCAGGAGAAUGGUGUGAACCCAGGAGGCGGAGCUUGCAGUGAGCAGAGAUAUAGUGCCACUGCACUCCAGCCUGGGUGACAGAGCGAUACUCCGUCUCAAAAAAAAAAAAAAAUUACUUUUUGGGGAAAAAUAAAAAGAUCACUGUGAUUAUCAUCCCACAUGCUUCCUCUGGCCUUACUUUGCAACUAAUAUUUGGAAACCCUCAACCCCAGAUACUUUUGGAAAGGGGCUGUUACAUUCUCCCUCUGUCCUUCCUCUAUCCUCAUUUUACCCCAACUCAUAUUCCCACAGUUGCAUCUAAAUUAAAUGACAUUUGUAAAUGAGUUAUAUUUUAAAUGCCAAGUGAUGUUGCUAUGUAGGCACAUGUUCUGAUGAACCGUUCUGUGAUACGAGUAAUUAUUAAGCUGCUUUGUAAUUACAUAGUUUGAAUUUGCUUAAGGUAGGUUGGACUUGAACUCCGGAUUUCUCGUCUCCUAAACGAUGGAGUAGACAGAAUAUAUGACUAUAUUUGUAAAUAUCUGCUUCCAUAGUGGUCUUUGUAAUGUCUUGUCUGUUUGCCUAGGGUUUUGUUUUGCUUUUUUGAGACAGAAUCUCGCUCUGUCACCCAGGCAGUGGCAUGAUCUUGGCUCACUGUAACCUCCACCUCCUGGGUUCAAGCGAUUCUCGUGCCCCAGCCUCCCAAGUAGCUGGUAUUACUGGUGCCCACCACCACACCCAGCUCAUUUUUGUGUUAUUAGUAGAGACUGGGUUUCCGGAGGUUGCAGUGAGCCGAGAUCACGCCAUUGCACUCCAGCCUGGGCAACAGAACAAGACUCUGUCUCAAAAAAAUAAAUAAAUAAGAAUCCAAGGCCUCUUCCCAGACAUUAUCUCUUUUAAUCCUGCAGGGGAAUCGGGGAUCAUUUUCCUCUUCUAACCCAAGGAGAAAUUGUUCAACAGAGGGUUGGGUUUGGUCAGGACAGCAUUAAGGUUUGUAGCCUGGGUUUCUGAAGGCUCAAACUAUAUUUCACAGGUUGGGGACGUCUGAAGUACUAGGUGGAAAAUAUCACAUAAGGCAGGAAGGAGGGUUCAAGAAUGUCGUUUCUUCCUUUAAGAUAGGAACAAUUUUCAGAAACAGGAUGUGGUGAAGAUGACCAGUUAAUGUAUGUUGAACUCCAACAGAGAUCUGUGAUUUUCCUGAAUGUAUUGAGUGGAUCAAAUAUAACAAGCUGGAUAAUUUUCCUCUAGUGAAUGACUGACUGUUUAAAAUUGUAUGGAAGUCCUUUGGCCUGCGAGCUGGCAUUUGGAUAUUUGAUGAUGGGUCUUUACUCUUUAACGGGUUCUCAGAACUUAACUUUGCAACUUGUCAACUAAGGUGCUCCUGGCUUGGGUCCAAUCUGUCUUAAUUCCCUGGCCUUUUUCCUCAUCUGGUUUUGCGUGUAUUUCCACUGUAGCAGUCUAAAUACCAUCACGGUGCAGAUUAAGGCAUGACUCUUGAAUUUGUGCAUACGAAGGUGUUCCAGGAAAAAGCUUUUCAAGUUCAAUCUCCUAGAUCAAAAAGCAUCUGUAUAUUUUCUUGGACACAGUCUCAGGAUAAAUCCAGUAUUCACUGCACACAGUAAAAAGAAGAUAAAGUAGGAGAGGGAUCAGUUUCACAUUCAGUCCUAAGCAGCAACAUGGUUGAGAUGUAAUCAUAAAAGCAAAUAUUUCACCCAGGACAUGGAAAAGCGGUGGAUCACCAGAAAGCAGAGAGUCAAACGCCGCAAGCAGAAGCAGUAAGAAGACGCCAAGUUUGGAGCAAGGUCUUAUUUACACCUGCCAUGGUCAUCAGCUUGCUCUUUUAGGUCUCCCCAACCUGACCCCCAAACAGGGGUUAUAUGCAGAGGUAAUAUAAUAUAUGUACUUUUGAAAAUAACAAAGUCACCGUGGAGAUAAUUUCAAAACAAUUUAUUUUCAUUUUCAGAUAUAUUGGACUAUUGCACUGAUGUUAAAAAGAGUAUGACUUGUUUAAAUUUUUUGUUGUUUCUUAUUUGCAGCCUAAUGUUCUGUGAUAGUAACUUGCUUCCAAGUAAAGUACGAAAAGUUAGUGGAGUGGCCAUGGCUGUGGUCUCUCAUAGGUGAAACUAGACUAUUUUGGAAUGCGUGGAGUUAGAACAAAGUUUUUAUUUUGUUUUUAAUUAGUAAAGCAAUAAAUAAAAUUGUCUUACUAAUAUUUAUUAGUUUUUAUUCUGUUAUUUAUUAGUAAGGCAAUAAAACAUUUAGAGUUUUUUCUGGAGUUUGUUGAAUAAACUGAAUAUUGGUAGUGUUCCAGCUAUGGCAUAGACAGUGCUGCUUUUACUGAUUCACAUAGCUUGGGCCUUGCUCCUUUCAAGCAAGCUGAUUUUUAAAUGCAGUGCCCCUGUGAACGUCAAGAACACCGACAACCUGAGAGCCCUCCCUGUUUGUUUUCUAGCUUGCGUCUCUGGAUAUGUAAGCUGAAAUAUCACCGUAUCUUCUAAUAAAUACUGUUCCAACAAC